Molecule: ribosomal RNA, 792 nt
Filed under: uncultured bacterium
Lineage: Bacteria
Description: bacterial SSU rRNA
Rfam family: Bacterial small subunit ribosomal RNA
Source: RNAcentral
AGAGUUUGAUCAUGGCUCAGAACGAACGCUGGCGGCGUGCUUAACACAUGCAAGUCGCGUGCGCAGUUGCCGUAGCAAUACGGUGAUGGGCGCACGGCGCACGGGUGCGUAACACGUGGGCAAUCUGCCCUUUGAUGGGGAAUAACCCGCCGAAAGGCGGGCUAAUUCCGCAUAAGAUUCCCGGAACUUCGGUUCUGGGAUUGAAAGCAGCAAUGCGUCGAAGGAGGAGCCCGCGCCCGAUUAGCUAGUUGGUGAGGUAACGGCUCACCAAGGCAAUGAUCGGUAGCUGGUCUGAGAGGAUGAUCAGCCACACUGGAACUGAGACACGGUCCAGACUCCUACGGGAGGCAGCAGUGGGGAAUCUUGCACAAUGGGCGAAAGCCUGAUGCAGCGACGCCGCGUGGGGGAUGAAGCAUUUCGGUGUGUAAACCCCUUUCGACUGGGACGAAUGCCUCGCAAGAGGAGUGACGGUACCAGUAGAAGAAGCCCCGGCUAACUACGUGCCAGCAGCCGCGGUAAGACGUAGGGGGCCAGCGUUGUUCGGAAUUACUGGGUGUAAAGGGUUCGUAGGCGGUGCGGCAAGUUGGGAGUGAAAUCUCUGGGCUUAACCCAGAGGCUGCUUCCAAAACUGCUGUGCUCGAGUGUGAGAGAGGCUCGUGGAAUUGCAGGUGUAGCGGUGAAAUGCGUAGAUAUCUGCAGGAACACCCGUGGCGAAAGCGGCGAGCUGGAUCACUACUGACGCUGAGGAACGAAAGCUAGGGGAGCAAACAGGAUUAGAUACCCUAGUAGUCC